Molecule: ribosomal RNA, 385 nt
Filed under: uncultured Methanosaeta sp.
Lineage: Archaea; Methanobacteriati; Methanobacteriota; Methanomicrobia; Methanotrichales; Methanotrichaceae
Description: bacterial SSU rRNA
Rfam family: Archaeal small subunit ribosomal RNA
Source: RNAcentral
UCAGGCUGAAGACCUUACCCGAUUAGCUGAGAGGUGGUGCAUGGUCGUCGUCAGUUCGUACUGUGAAGCAUCCUGUUAAGUCAGGCAACGAGCGAGACCCACGUCCACAGUUGCCAGCAUACCCUCCGGGGUGAUGGGUACACUGUGGAGACCGCCGCUGCUAAAGCGGAGGAAGGAGUGGGCAACGGUAGGUCAGUAUGCCCCGAAUCUCCCGGGCUACACGCGGGCUACAAUGGUUGGUACAAUGGGCAUCUACCCCGAAAGGGGAAGGAAAUCUCUUAAAGCCAAUCGUAGUUCGGAUUGAGGGCUGCAACUCGCCCUCAUGAAGCUGGAAUCCGUAGUAAUCGCGUUUCAACAGAACGCGGUGAAUACGUCCCUGCUCCUU